This 431-nucleotide ribosomal RNA is filed under the name uncultured bacterium. RNAcentral's name for it is "bacterial SSU rRNA". It matches the Rfam family "Bacterial small subunit ribosomal RNA", at positions 355 to 787 of the family's 1533-position model. The record is from RNAcentral.
UGGGGAAUAUUGCGCAAUGGACGAAAGUCUGACGCAGCGACGCCGCGUGUGGGAUGACGGUCUUCGGAUUGUAAACCACUGUCGGGAGGGACGAAUACGCCGCAAGGCGGGUGACGGUACCUCCAAAGGAAGCACCGGCUAACUCCGUGCCAGCAGCCGCGGUAAUACGGAGGGUGCGAGCGUUGUCCGGAAUCACUGGGCGUAAAGGGCGCGUAGGCGGCCUGAUAAGUAGGGGGCUGAAAUCCUGCGGCUUAACCGCAGGGCUGCCUUCUAAACUGUCGGGCUCGAGCACAGUAGAGGCAGGUGGAAUUCUCGGUGUAGCGGUGGAAUGCGUAGAGAUCGGGAAGAACAUCAGUGGCGAAGGCGGCCUGCUGGGCUGUUGCUGACGCUGAGGCGCGACAGCGUGGGGGAGCAAACAGGAUUAGAUACCC